Pelmatolapia mariae (spotted tilapia) is the source of this 240-nucleotide long non-coding RNA. RefSeq lists it as uncharacterized. The transcript is spliced from 5 exons. The record is from RefSeq and is a predicted model, not a curated record. NCBI's taxonomy places the organism in Eukaryota, Metazoa, Chordata, Actinopteri, Cichliformes, Cichlidae.
AAGAUCCUGUCAAAUGCCCUGGAGUGGGGUGUGAAAAUCCUAUAUGUAGAUGAUUUAAUAGCAUAUGUUCAUAAGAAAAAAAAGAUCAUCAAAAGCUCAGUUCCUGCAGCCACUGCGGCCAAAUUAUGUGACAAAGCUGAUUCUGCAGCAAAGCAAGGCCUAGAGAAAUGCAAAGGCGGGCAGAUUGGUAAACCUUUCAUCAAGGUUGAGGAUUCAAGUAGGCACUACCGUCCAAUCUAC